This is a non-coding RNA of Macaca mulatta (Rhesus monkey), 1364 nucleotides long. NCBI's taxonomy places the organism in Eukaryota, Metazoa, Chordata, Mammalia, Primates, Cercopithecidae. The record is from RefSeq and is a predicted model, not a curated record.
AUGUAGAAAUUCCACCUUCAGAUCUCUCCUCUUCAUCAUUAUUUUUUAGAUGAAUGCACUGAGAAGCCAGCAACAGCAUCAGAAUGUCUCUCGCCCUCACACAAGGAGCAAACGAAGCAGAACAUCAAAAGGAUGGCGCUAGAGCUGGUUUUGGAGGCUUAAGCAGGAAGCAGAGAGUGGGUGUGCUUUCCAGGAAGGAAACAGUGGUACGGGGCGUGGACCAUGCGGUUGGCUUUCUGCUUUAAGGUUCAGCCAUGGGAUGACUCUAACUCGAUGUCCUAAAUCAGCCUGUCCAACGCAAAUAUAGUACCAGCCACAAAUGCAAGCCACAAAUGUGAUUUUAAAUUUUCUCAUAGCCACAUUAAAAAAGAGAAAUGAAUGUAAUUAAUUUUAAUAAAAUAUUUAAUUUAAGCCAAAAUAUCAAAAAUAUCAUUUCAACAUGUAAUUGAUGUGAACAAUAUUAUUAAUAAGACACCUUACCUAAUUUUAUUAUACAAAGUCUUUGUAAUUCAUUGUGUAUUUUACACUUACAGAAUAUGUCAAUUUGAACUAGCCACAUUUCAAGGGCUUAAUAAUACCCUUGUCUGAAAUGCUCACCUGCAGUGCAAACCCAGAAUAAUUUAGUCCUUUCACAAGGUACCAAUUGGUGCCCAGGCACUAGCAUAUCAAAUAUACAACAGGGGGCUAAAAUAGCACUUGAAAUAUAGUGAGAUGGGGAUUUUUUUUAAAAAAAAUUUACUAGAAUCCUCUCAAGGGGAACAUGUAUCAUAUGUGGUUAUGAGAAAUCCUUUGAAAAGUUUGCCGUGGCCAAAAGAAGGGUAGGAGGUGGAGAUGGAGAAACUCCGAUGAAGAACUCCUAGGUCCUAGGUCAAUCGCUGAACUUGGAUCUCUCAGAGAUUUCACCAUUUUUAAAAAUUACUUUUCUAGGGCCAAGACAAAGGUCAAUAGUGACUCAAUUUAUUAUUGGAAAAAUUUUAACAACUUCAAUCUCUAAUAAGAGGGCCUGAACAAAAUUGUGAACCACCCACAUGAAAGAAUAUUUUGCCAUGAUUAAAAUACUAUUUAGAAACAUGGGGAUAUACCUAAUAUAGAACGGUAAGUAGAGGAGGAAAGCAGGACUGAGUGUAAUUAUUCAUACAAGCUGAACCAUAUUUAAUAAGUGCAAAAGAAAUAUGCCAAAAUAUUGCCAUUGUUUUUAUUAGGAAGUAGCAUCAUGGGUGAUUUUUCUGGACUUUUCAAUGUUUUUCUAAUGAACACAUAUUACUUUGAGGAUUAUCAGGAAGGGGAUAAAACAAAACCCAAUGACUCACUUGCCAGAAUUUCCCCGGUUCUGUAACUACUUAAUUACAUAUGUGUAUUUACAA